AUUGCGUAUAAUAUACUCUUUCCGUGUUGUGGUAAGAAAGAAGUCUACUAACCAAGAAGAAUAUGAGCUAACAGAAUAUUAUCUAUUUUGUCGGCAAAAGUUCAGCUCUAUAGUCGCUAUUGAAUAUAAAUUCAACAAUUUGUUUAUAUUUGACGCAACAGGUUCUUCGGGAGUCUACAAGCUUGAAAACGCCAGUAGUUUUCGGAGGAUAAAUUUUAGCACCGACCAAGUGACUCAAAUAAAAAAUAAAAAAUUUUUUACGGAUCCAAAUAUAAAAUUGGUUUUGAAAAAUGAAGCUCCAUGCUUGGCUCUCGUGAGCACCCGAAUAAUUUUGUUUGCAAAAUUGUAAUUUGUUAUUAUUUUUAUCAAAAAUAAUAAAUUAUUUAAUGUUA
Cotesia glomerata is the source of this 392-nucleotide long non-coding RNA. RefSeq lists it as uncharacterized. NCBI's taxonomy places the organism in Eukaryota, Metazoa, Arthropoda, Insecta, Hymenoptera, Braconidae. The record is from RefSeq and is a predicted model, not a curated record. The transcript is spliced from 3 exons.